This is a long non-coding RNA of Homo sapiens (human), 3191 nucleotides long. RefSeq lists it as uncharacterized. Lineage: Eukaryota; Metazoa; Chordata; Mammalia; Primates; Hominidae. The record is from RefSeq and is a predicted model, not a curated record. The transcript is spliced from 3 exons.
UCAGUCACCCCCCCCCAACCACAAACAAGAGCCAGAUGGCCACAAGGCCAUGUAAGCAGCUUGUCUUCCAAAAGCCACCUUGUGUCUGCAGGACGCGGAGCACCCGGCAGCCCGGGCUGGUCCUCCUCGCCGGCACUCCUCGGCUUUGCCUGAUGAACACCAACACGGUUUUAAGCUUCCAUCCAGCAUUUGCAGCUUACUCGUGAGAUGCCAAACUGAUGUUCACUGAUCAGGCUCAGAUUACCCAACAGAGAUGGGAGAUUGGUGCCGGCCCUGCACAGCAUGCCUCGAAGGAAGCCCUGUGGCGAGAGAUGAACCUAGCUCAACUUCCAUUCUGCUGCUGGCGCCUGCCCCGGUAACCCGCAUGUUACACGCAGAUUGGAGAUCACAAAUCAGAAGGGGACUCAAGGGCUGUUGGCAACAGGAUGGGACUGGGGACAGCCCAUGUGCCUGCCUCUGUCAUGAUAGGCACCCAGAAAUAUUUCCUGGAUGGCCAGUGACCAAGUGGGGGAUGUCAUCUCUUCACACGCUUCCAGCACACACGUGUGAUGAAGCAGGAUCCAGGCUGUGGCGAGGCACCAGGAUAGGACAAGCAAGGAGGCGGCUCCUCUCUGCCGGGAAUCUGGCCUGCGGGAGGAAAGCAGCCUGACAGUGCCCACUCUGGUGGCCACUGUGACAAGGGCUCUGCAGCCCGGAGGAACUCUGGGAGGUUUGAUGUGAAGAGGAGAGCCAGGGAUGACCCUUUGGUGAGGUCUGAGGGAUGAACUGGAAGACACCUAUGAUUUUAAAUGAAAAACUUGCCUGAGAGAAGACACAGAAAAAAAUACGAAGAGCUAGGUUCUGAUGAGGAAAUUACUUCUGUGGACCCAGCGCUUUUGACUUCAUCUUCCUUCUGUUCCUGAACUUGGGAACGUGGAGAACAAUGAGGAAAAAAGGGUGUCAAAGCACUCAGAAAAAUUAAGUGUCGAAUACGUGGAAAUAGUAAUAAAAAAACCACUUUUCAUGUUAUGUGACCAUUUGUCUUGAAGACUACAAACGUAGACUGGCACUACCAUACCUAACGCACGAUCUCAGCCGUUUAUUCUUCCCUGAGAAAACUGGGGCAAGAAGAGAAAGUAACAUUUAUUGAGAGCUUAUCUUGUGCCAGGCACUAUUAGGUGUUUUUAUAAAUGCUCAGGGAAGCCAUUCUUCAGGUAUGAAUCUUACCAAGAUGUAUAAAGUCUGCAGGGCACUAUGUUUGGGUAUUAGGACUUGGAUCUAUUUCAUGCACCUUUUUCUUUGCAUAUUUUGACUACAUUUAGGGAUCAAUAUGCAAUCCCUCCUGUGACUAAUUUAUUGCUUACAAGCUCACCUCAGUCCAAGAGUAAAUAAAAUGGUGGAUUAGUGAGGACUAGGUCAGCUUAUUGCAUAAUAUACAUUAAGGCUAAAUUUUAGUAUCUUUAUUAAUAUUUUACAGCAUUAACACUUUUCAAAGAGAAUAUCCCUAGAAGGGUAUGCUAAAGUUACAUUAUUACAAAGAGAUGAUCUGAAACUCUGAGAAAGUGAACAUUCUUAGUAAAAGGUCUGUUUUAACAGGUAAAGUAGAAAAGGCAAGUUUAGAUUUAUAAUUGCUCCCUUCUCUCGUUUCUUUUUACCACCAGGAUAAAGGAAAUGUCUAUAAUUCAAGGAUAGGGAGAGUGCCAGGUCACCAAAUGAUUAUAUCUAAUUCAUUUAAACCAAUCUGCCGGAAAUCUUGCUUAGGUUAAGAUCACAGGUGGCUUUUAAAACUAGCCAAACAAACAUCUUUGAAUCUAUCUUGAGUUCCUAUUUACUCAGCCUUGCUCAUUCAGUUGAAAAGACGUGAACAAGGAAAUCUUCUGUAAAUUACACACCUUACCCUUAAUGAAAUGGUUUCAUUCCAUCACUUGCUCAAUAGAUCAGAAAAAUUCCAGGAAACGUUUAACCUCCAAAACUUAUUCUAAAGCAUGAAUAGGCCAGACGCCGUGGCUCACGUCUGCAAUCCCAGCAGUUUGGGAGGUCGAGGCGGGCAGAUCACUUGAGGUCAGGAGUUCGAGACCAGCCUGGCCAGCAUGGUGAAACUCCAUCUCUACUAAAAAUACAAAAAAAUUACCCAGGUGUGGUGGUGAAUGCCUGUAUUCCCAGCUACCUGGGAGGCUGAGGCAGGAGAAUGGCUUGAACCCAGGAGGCGGAGGUUGCAGUGAGCCAAGAUCGCACCACUGCACUCCAGCCUGGGCAACAGAGCAAGACUCUGUCUCAAAAAACGAAUAAACAUGAACUUAGACUAGUUCAGCAGGCAUUCCUAUACUUGAUCCACAUAAAUUGGGUUAAUCUCAGGCAAACCUCAAGUCUCUGUAAUGAGGGAAAUGUUUUUAUCAUGAGAUCUACCAGUUUUUCCAUACAUGGAUGUUUCAUGUUUUAAAUGUAGUAGAAACCUAUUGGUUUGGAUCUGUGUUAUAAAAUGGAUUGGUACAUAUAAGGUAAGGCCUUUCUCUGCUAGUACUGACAUGCGAUUUCACAACUACAAGUAAUGUGAAGCCUGCCUAGCAUUAAUGUUCCUGGUGCUCAACGCAUCUCUUCAGUUCUCAUCCCAUCGUGAUAACCUGUGAGUGCAAGUAACUCCAGCCACGCCGGCUGGCAGCAGGGAAGCUGCCCCUGUGACAGGCCAGGCAUGCCCGCUCCUCCUGCCUGAAAACCGGGUGCCUGUGGUGAGGAGGGGUAAGGUGGCAGGUUCAAUUCAGCUCGUGCUGCACUUAAAACUUUCUACCAUAAGAAAAACACAUACUGUUGACCCUUAAACAACACAGGGUUUGAACCUGUGGGUCCACUUAUAUACAUGGAGCUUUUCCAACCAAACAUGGUUUAUUUGCUGAAUGUGAAACCCACGUAUACGGAGGGCUGACUUUUAGUGUACGCAGGUUCCGUAGGGCCAAGUGCCAGACUUGAGUAUGCAGAUUUUCGCAUACGUGGGGUAUCCUGGAACCAAUGUCCUGUGUAUAUUGAAGGAUGAUUCAAAUACUUCCCAAGAGGUUGUGUCAAAAUUCAGUAAAAUUUGAAGAACUGCAAAAUAUUUCUCCAUUACAAAUUCUAACAUCCUACACAGAGACCACCACCCCAACUGUUUUUUAAAAAGCAAACAUAAAUACAACACUUGGUUUUGAACCUUUAAUAAAAGUAAAAAAUGAAUGCAAAAA